UGAACGCUGGCGGCGUGCCUAACACAUGCAAGUCGAACGAAACUGAUUUCAUGAAACUUCGGUAGAUUGGAUGAAAGUUGAGUGGCGGACGGGUGAGUAACACGUGGGCAACCUGCCUCACAGAGGGGGAUAGCAGUUGGAAACGACUGAUAAUACCGCAUAAGCACACAGUACCGCAUGGUACAGGGUGAAAAGAUUUAUCACUGUGAGAUGGACCCGCGUCUGAUUAGCCAGUUGGCAGGGUAACGGCCUACCAAAGCGACGAUCAGUAGCCGACCUGAGAGGGUGACCGGCCACAUUGGGACUGAGACACGGCCCAAACUCCUACGGGAGGCAGCAGUGGGGGAUAUUGCACAAUGGAGGAAACUCUGAUGCAGCGACGCCGCGUGAGUGAAGAAGUAUUUCGGUAUGUAAAGCUCUAUCAGCAGGGAAGAUAAUGACAGUACCUGACCAAGAAGCCCCGGCUAACUACGUG
Molecule: ribosomal RNA, 475 nt
Filed under: uncultured bacterium
Lineage: Bacteria
Description: bacterial SSU rRNA
Rfam family: Bacterial small subunit ribosomal RNA
Source: RNAcentral